This 251-nucleotide ribosomal RNA is filed under the name uncultured bacterium. RNAcentral describes it as "partial 16S ribosomal RNA". It matches the Rfam family "Bacterial small subunit ribosomal RNA", at positions 524 to 776 of the family's 1533-position model. The record is from RNAcentral.
UACGUAGGGUGCAAGCGUAUCCGGAAUUAUUGGGCGUAAAGAGCUCGUAGGCGGUUUGUCGCGUCUGCUGUGAAAACUGGAGGCUCAACCUCCAGCCUGCAGUGGGUACGGGCAGACUAGAGUGCGGUAGGGGAGAUUGAAUUCCUGGUGUAGCGGUGAAAUGCGCAGAUAUCAGGAGGAACACCAGUGGCGAAGGCGGCUCACUGGCCCGAUACUGACGCUGAGGCACGAAAGCGUGGGGAGCAAACAGG